GUCAGGUGUGGUGGUUCACGCCUUUAAUCCUAGCUCUUUGGGAGGCCGAGGUGGGUGGAUCACUUGAGGCCAGGAGUUCGAGACCUCGCCUGGCCAACAUAGUGAAAACCCAUCUCUA
Molecule: unclassified non-coding RNA, 118 nt
Organism: Papio anubis (olive baboon)
Lineage: Eukaryota; Metazoa; Chordata; Mammalia; Primates; Cercopithecidae
Rfam family: Metazoan signal recognition particle RNA
About the family: The signal recognition particle (SRP) is a universally conserved ribonucleoprotein. It is involved in the co-translational targeting of proteins to membranes. The eukaryotic SRP consists of a 300-nucleotide 7S RNA and six proteins: SRPs 72, 68, 54, 19, 14, and 9.
Source: Ensembl